This 720-nucleotide ribosomal RNA is filed under the name Lutibacter sp. RNAcentral's name for it is "bacterial SSU rRNA". It matches the Rfam family "Bacterial small subunit ribosomal RNA", at positions 28 to 739 of the family's 1533-position model. The record is from RNAcentral. Lineage: Bacteria; Pseudomonadati; Bacteroidota; Flavobacteriia; Flavobacteriales; Flavobacteriaceae.
GAUGAACGCUAGCGGCAGGCUUAACACAUGCAAGUCGAGGGGUAACAGGGAGAAGCUUGCUUUUCCGCUGACGACCGGCGCACGGGUGCGUAACGCGUAUAGAACCUACCUUUUACAGAGGAAUAGCCCAGAGAAAUUUGGAUUAAUGCCUCAUAGUAUUAUAGAAUGGCAUCAUUUUAUAAUUAAACAUUUAUGGGUAAAAGAUGGCUAUGCGUUCUAUUAGCUAGUUGGUAAGGUAACGGCUUACCAAGGCUACGAUAGAUAGGGGUCCUGAGAGGGAGAUCCCCCACACUGGUACUGAGACACGGACCAGACUCCUACGGGAGGCAGCAGUGAGGAAUAUUGGACAAUGGAGGCAACUCUGAUCCAGCCAUGCCGCGUGCAGGAAGACGGCCCUAUGGGUUGUAAACUGCUUUUAUAUAGGAAGAAACCUUUCCACGUGUGGAAAGCUGACGGUACUAUAAGAAUAAGCACCGGCUAACUCCGUGCCAGCAGCCGCGGUAAUACGGAGGGUGCAAGCGUUAUCCGGAAUCAUUGGGUUUAAAGGGUCCGUAGGCGGACUAAUAAGUCAGGGGUGAAAUCCAACAGCUUAACUGUUGAACUGCCUUUGAUACUGUUAGUCUUGAAUUAUAUGGAAGUAGAUAGAAUGUGUAGUGUAGCGGUGAAAUGCUUAGAGAUUACACAGAAUACCGAUUGCGAAGGCAGUCUACUACGUAUAUA